CCCCUAGUAACUGCGAGUGAAGCGGGAAGAGCUCAAAUUUAAAAUCUGGCGUGCCUCCGGUCGUCCGAGUUGUAGUCUGGAGAAGCGUUUUCCGUGUUGGACCGUGUAUAAGUCUCUUGGAACAGGGCGUCAUAGAGGGUGAGAAUCCCGUCUUUGACACGGACUGCCAAUGCUUUGUGAUGCGCUCUCAAAGAGUCGAGUUGUUUGGGAAUGCAGCUCAAAAUGGGUGGUAAAUUCCAUCUAAAGCUAAAUAUAGGCGAGAGACCGAUAGCGAACAAGUACCGUGAGGGAAAGAUGAAAAGCACUUUGGAAAGAGAGUUAAACAGUACGUGAAAUUGCUGAAAGGGAAACGCUUGAAGUCAGUCGUGUCUGCCAGGACUCAGCCUCGCUUCUGCUUGGUGUACUUUCUGGUCGGAUGGGCCAACAUCAAUUUUGACCGUCGGAGAAAGGCUUUGGGAACGUGGCACCUUCGGGUGUGUUAUAGCCCUUUGUCAUAUACGGCGGUUGGGAUUGAGGACUGCAGCACGCCGUUAUUUGGGUAGGGGCAUCUCGCCCACGUACGUGCUUAGGAUGUUGGCAUAAUGGCUUUAAGCGACCCGUCUUGAAACACGGACCAAGGAGUCUAACAUGCCUGCGAGUGUUUGGGUGGAAAACCCAUGUGCGUAAUGAAAGUGACAGCUGAGAUCCUCUUCUUGUGGAGCAUCAGCGCCUGGACUUGAUCUACGGAGACGGUUCUACGGUAGAGCAUGCAUGUUGGGACCCGAAAGAUGGUGAACUAUGCCUGAAUAGGGUGAAGCCAGAGGAAACUCUGGUGGAGGCUCGUAGCGAUUCUGACGUGCAAAUCGAUCGUCAAAUUUGGGUAUAGGGGCGAAAGACUAAUCG
RNAcentral lists this ribosomal RNA (882 nucleotides) under Thelephora pallidocastanea. Its description in RNAcentral is "Tomentella pallidocastanea partial large subunit ribosomal RNA". It matches the Rfam family "Eukaryotic large subunit ribosomal RNA", at positions 77 to 937 of the family's 3401-position model. Lineage: Eukaryota; Fungi; Basidiomycota; Agaricomycetes; Thelephorales; Thelephoraceae. The record is from RNAcentral.